Molecule: ribosomal RNA, 474 nt
Filed under: uncultured Bacteroidota bacterium
Lineage: Bacteria; Pseudomonadati; Bacteroidota
Description: bacterial SSU rRNA
Rfam family: Bacterial small subunit ribosomal RNA
Source: RNAcentral
UGGUUGUAAACUGCUUUUAUACGGGAAUAACCCCACUACGUGUAGUGGGCUGAAUGUACUGUAAGAAUAAGGAUCGGCUAACUCCGUGCCAGCAGCCGCGGUAAUACGGAGGAUCCAAGCGUUAUCCGGAUUUAUUGGGUUUAAAGGGUGCGUAGGCGGCCUAUCAAGUCAGAGGUGAAAGACGGUAGCUUAACUAUCGCAGUGCCUUUGAAACUGGUGGGCUUGAAUGUACUUGAGGUGGGCGGAAUGUGACAAGUAGCGGUGAAAUGCAUAGAUAUGUCACAGAACCCCGAUUGCGAAGGCAGCUCACUAAAGUAUGAUUGACGCUGAUGCACGAAAGCGUGGGGAUCAAACAGGAUCAGAUACCCUGGUAGUCCACGCCCUAAACGAUGAAUACUCGAUGUUGGCGAUACACUGUCAGCGUCCACGCGAAAGUAUUAAGUAUUCCACCUGGGGAGUACGUCCGCAAGGAUG